UCUGGUCUCACAGUCUCACCUCGCAGUUGUUUUUGUUGGGAAAAAUAAACAAUAAUUUAGCUGGUUGUUGUGCGCGAACCAAAAGUGGAAAUUAUGCGAAUCUCGACAGCGAAAGGGCAACGCGAUGCUGGCAAUGAAAGUGUAGGCGCGGCUUUUCCGGAUUUUCCAGCUUAUCGGCACUCGUGCACCUGUAUUGGCAUUUCCACCGUUUUUUUCGCCCAUGGAGCUGCAAUGGCGACCAAGUUGAGAACGAUCAAUUCCGCUAAAUAGAAAGAGCAAUCAAGGAUAAAGAGCGGUGUGAGGAGAGGAGAGCGGUACGUGGGUGCAGGCGAAAAUAGCGAGAAAGAACCGUUUUAGUCGUCGACGAAGAGUUCAUAAAUGGCGAAUAAGAGUGCGAAAAGGCAAUGAAAAGGGGCAAACCGUGGGUUAUAUAAAAAUAUAUAUAUGUAUAUCAAGUGCCACGAAAUGCAGUCGUUGCAAAAAUCGAAAAUAAAUCAAUGAUUUAGACGCAAAAUCCAGGAAAAGAAGAAGAAGCAGCACAGCUGAGUGCGUGUGUGUGAGCGCUGUUUGCUUGCAAGUGUGGGUUCGUGUGUGUUGUGAGCAAGUGAAAUCAAUAAUAUUUGCAGCCCGAAAAAAGCAUAAACACUGCAAUAAUGUCGAAAAAUUAAAUUAAGGCAACAAAUUAGCAGGGCCAUAAAUCAAGGCUGCACUGAGCGGAAAUUGUGCCUUUCAACGGAUCUUCUGUUGCACAGCGAAAGAAGCAAAAUCAAAAAAUAAUGGAAUUUUAACAAAGUUUUGAAAGUGUACUUCUGGUGCAAGAAGCAGCAGCAGCAAUAGCUAGAGGAAUCGGA
Drosophila takahashii is the source of this 851-nucleotide non-coding RNA. Lineage: Eukaryota; Metazoa; Arthropoda; Insecta; Diptera; Drosophilidae. The record is from RefSeq and is a predicted model, not a curated record.